Molecule: long non-coding RNA, 519 nt
Organism: Rosa chinensis
Lineage: Eukaryota; Viridiplantae; Streptophyta; Magnoliopsida; Rosales; Rosaceae
Exons: 2
Source: RefSeq, a predicted model, not a curated record
CAAAGGUUCAGUACCACUACGAUAGACCACCCAUAUAAGAAUAAUCUUAGAAGCUGGAGGUGUCGAUGUUGCUGAAGAGCCUUGGAGAGUCAGUUACCAUAGUUGUGAGUCAUCAAAGCUAGAAGCAGGAGGUGGAUCCCUAGAAGCAUGUGGUGGAGACCUAGAACCAGGAGGUGGCAGUCCUUAUCGAAACAUAGAGGAAGCCGAUAGUGUUGGCAUCCAAAUCUACUCUCUGUUGUGCUUAUCUAGAAUUAAAAUCUGACCUCUUUGCCAUACACUAUAAAUAUCCAGGUACUGAACAUGAAGUUUAAUUUUCCCUUUUGAAGAGCUUGUGAUUAAUAUGAAGGAAGUGUGAGACUUGUUUUGUUUAGUUUCCUAGAAUAAGAGCAAAAGCUGCCAGUUUGUAGUUUGCCUUUGAAGUAUAGGUUUGAAAUUUCUGUGGGAAUAAUGAACUAUCAAGAAAGUUUGUACUGUAAUCUAUAUAAUUAUGUUUGCUGCAAUAUAAAUUUCUUUUUUUUC